Molecule: transfer RNA, 82 nt
Filed under: Erysipelotrichaceae bacterium
Lineage: Bacteria; Bacillati; Bacillota; Erysipelotrichia; Erysipelotrichales; Erysipelotrichaceae
Description: tRNA-Leu
Rfam family: tRNA
About the family: Transfer RNA (tRNA) molecules are approximately 80 nucleotides in length. Their secondary structure includes four short double-helical elements and three loops (D, anti-codon, and T loops). Further hydrogen bonds mediate the characteristic L-shaped molecular structure. tRNAs have two regions of fundamental functional importance: the anti-codon, which is responsible for specific mRNA codon recognition, and the 3' end, to which the tRNAs corresponding amino acid is attached (by aminoacyl-tRNA synthetases). tRNAs cope with the degeneracy of the genetic code in two manners: having more than one tRNA (with a specific anti-codon) for a particular amino acid; and 'wobble' base-pairing, i.e. permitting non-standard base-pairing at the 3rd anti-codon position.
Source: RNAcentral
GGGAGAUUGGUGGAAUUGGCAGACACGCUAGUCUUAGGAACUAGUGGGGCAACCCAUGCAGGUUCAAGUCCUGUAUCUCCCA